Molecule: transfer RNA, 84 nt
Filed under: Nanoarchaeota archaeon NZ13-N
Lineage: Archaea; Nanobdellati; Nanobdellota
Also listed under: 1 other name
Description: tRNA-Leu
Rfam family: tRNA
About the family: Transfer RNA (tRNA) molecules are approximately 80 nucleotides in length. Their secondary structure includes four short double-helical elements and three loops (D, anti-codon, and T loops). Further hydrogen bonds mediate the characteristic L-shaped molecular structure. tRNAs have two regions of fundamental functional importance: the anti-codon, which is responsible for specific mRNA codon recognition, and the 3' end, to which the tRNAs corresponding amino acid is attached (by aminoacyl-tRNA synthetases). tRNAs cope with the degeneracy of the genetic code in two manners: having more than one tRNA (with a specific anti-codon) for a particular amino acid; and 'wobble' base-pairing, i.e. permitting non-standard base-pairing at the 3rd anti-codon position.
Source: RNAcentral
GCGGGGGUGCCCGAGAGGUCAAAGGGGUCGGGUUGAGGUCCCGAUGGAUUAGGUCCGUCCGGGGUUCGAAUCCCCGCCCCCGCA